Humulus lupulus (European hop) is the source of this 4046-nucleotide long non-coding RNA. RefSeq lists it as uncharacterized. The transcript has 12 exons. Lineage: Eukaryota; Viridiplantae; Streptophyta; Magnoliopsida; Rosales; Cannabaceae. The record is from RefSeq and is a predicted model, not a curated record.
UUAUUAGCUAACAAGAGGCCACGACACAAGCGCAAGGGCCCAAGAGACAAUUCUAAGAAACCUAAUUCCCUCUAUAGACCAAAUUUACUCAUCCCAUCACAACCGCUUCUUCUUCUUCACGACUUCUAAAGGGUUUUUUUACUUUCAAGAAUGGAGUGAAUCACUUACUAUUUGGAGAUGGGCGCAUAUGGGUGCUGGUAAGUCUACUUGUAUAUUUGGUAACUUAAGAAAAAAUUUUCUUUAGGAAUCGGUGGGUUUUUUGAGAGAGAGGAGGGAGACAAAGGGAGAGAGUGUUAUUAAGUUAUAAAACCUUGAAAGGGGUUGUUUGGAGGGAAAUAAAAUUUGGGAAAGUGAGAGAAUUAUGGGUUUUGGAGUGUUCUGAGAAAGCAAGGGAAAUCUUUUAGUUUUAUUUGAUGUGAUUUUAAUGUGUGAAACCAUGUGAUGGAAAAUCAUGAGGCCGGCGAUAAUACGGCUCUUCGAUUGCUCUGUUUAAUGAUAAAACUCAAUUUUGAGUAACUGACCAAUAUUAUAUAUUUAUUAAUAUUUUUUUUGAAAUAAUAUAUUUAUUAAUCUAGAAGCAUCAAAUCCCAAAAAUUUCCCUUAAUAAGAAUAUAGAUUUUAAUAAAUCACACAAAUUAUUUCAUAAUUCGUACAGGUAAGGAAGAAUCUAUAAUAACCGAAUAAUGAGGAGUAGUGAUUAAUUCUCAAAAUAUAGAAAUUAUUUAACAACAAUAUAAAAUAAUGAAUAAAAUUAAAGAUGGAGUAUAUAAAGGAGAAAUAAAAAAUAAUAAUCACAUAAACAUAAAUUGUUUACGAAAAGUAUUUGCAAAUUUAAAUUAGUUUUGACAUAAAUACUUUAUUGGAUGAGAUUUGUCUACUGAACUACUAUUAUUAUGCUUUAACUAUAUGGAAAGAAAUUUUACUGACCUUUUAAAUGUUCCAUCAAAGCUUUAAAGAAGAAAUCAGAGUGUAUUACUUCAAUAUCCCUGAAAAGAGAAAAAAAUUUCAAUAGAUGUGCAUUUAGUCUUCUUAAUUGUUGAACAUGAAUGGUAAACUUGUAGGAAAAUGAUCUUUUAUUUUUUACCUUCUCAGCAGCUUAUAAGAACUUAUGUUUCAAAUUUACGACUGUCUUAAUAUAGGAUUUAUAAAUAGAUGAGAUGGUUUUUAUUGUGUAUGUGAAUACUAAUGGUUGUGUCUUAUGGCAAUGGUUAUAUCUUUUCUCAAAUAUUGCAUUGCUUGACUGAAUACUAAUGGUUGUGUCUUAUUAUAUAUUUAUCUGAAUUACAUAUAUUAUAUGUUUUUGGAAAAUUAAAAUACGUGGACUCCACAAUAAUAAGUGAUUGGUAGGUUGUUUUCUAAAACUCAUUUCAAAUACGUAUCUUAGUUUUAUGUAGUAAAAUAGAAAACGAGAAAUUCUCGUUUUCUAUGUUUAUAUUUUAAAUCUAUGGGCCCCCGUGUAUUUCUUUUUCCUCUUCUGUCUAACAACUAUUCCCACCGUCAUCCUAAUUACUGAGAUUCUGAAACGCAGUGGAAUGGCAGUUCAAAAGAAUAUAAGGACAUCUACUAUCGGAGCCAGAGAGGAAAAGAAAGAUUGAGAUUUUGCUGAGAAUGGCUGAUAAGAUGGAUGGGAACUCAGUUGUUUCCACAUCCAAUUAAGAAGACAGGCUGCUGCUGCUGCGGCUGAAUAACAAGUGUUCGGGGGUCAAUUCCAUUGCUUUGGGAGCAAGUAGUGGAUUUGACAUAUAAUCCCAAGUUUCAGCUUGUGAAAGUAGAGGAAGUUGUUCUGUCUUUGAAGGUUUAUCCUUGUGACCAUUCUCUUCAAAAUUCCAAUGCACAAUAGAAGAAGAUGGAAGCUGAGUUUUUUGCCUCCUCAAUAUUGUUGAAAAGAUUUGCGGUUUGUUUUUCUCUUAUGAAACGAAUCUAACUCUCAGUGUACAGAGAUUGCAUGAUAUGGGGGAUGAAUCUAAGUUGCUUCCUCUUUGGAGACAGGCAGAACCUAGGUUUUUAUGGAACAACUAUAUGUUGGAAGUGCUCAUAGAUAACAAGCUUGAUCCCUUCUUGCUUCCUGUUAUCCAAGGGAGCUUCCAACACUUUCAAGCAACAAUAGGGAAGGAUGUAAUUGAUGUCCCUCUGAUUUCUAGGAGAUGCACGAGGAGAAAUGGCACUUAUGUGAAAAGUUUGGAACUUCCAUGCAACCUAUCAUUAGUGAUGACGUGAGAUAUUUGCACUUCGAUUUUCAUAAAAUUCGCGGGGAUGUUCAUUUUGAGCGCCUAUUUAUUCUCUACGAACAAAUUUAUGUUUUUCUCGACAGAAAUGGAGGGCAAGAUCAUUCGCUUCCCAACAUUAGAUGCAUUCCUUUCGCCAAGAGUAAUGGUAUCAACAAUACCUUGAUAUAUCUUUGAGCGAAAAUCAUUUUGGUUGCUUCUAAAAUAAUCCAACCUUGACAUCAACCACAAAUUGUUGGUUACAUACAUAUCAACCACAAAUUGUUGUAACAGUCUUCCAGAAAUUAAUAAGAUUGAGUUGGCAUUUUCUCGAAUUUGUAAUUUGUAGCAAUAGUAUUCACGGCAUGAAACUAUCGGACCUUGUCUACAUUGUUUAGUCAUGAAAUUUUUGAAUGUAAGUUAAGUGAUUAUAAGUUGGAUGUGCAUACUUAAGUAAUUUUUAAAACAUUAAUAUUAUUAGCAUUUUGUAAACAUUAAAGUUUUAAUCUAACCUCGUUCUUCCCUUGCUAUCAAUUCGUCAGCAUUUAUUGAUUGUUGAGGUAGUAUUGAAUGAUUUGUUUCGUUAUAUAUAGAUUCGUCUCCUCGACUAACCCUUUUAAUUCCUUGAUGCCAUCCAAUAUCUCCGAAAGGGAACAAUAGCGGAUAUUGUAGUGGAUCAUAACAAUCAAAAUAGUAUUGAACUUUAUGGUUUCCACCUGAAUGGUUAUGGACAAAAAUGUCACGAGGUUUUAGUUGUUCUCCUUCAUUAUUUUCGACCAAUAUUGCUGCAACUUGUGACGAUGUGGGGGCAUUGAAAACCCGUUGAUCGAGUCCUGGAUCUGUCCUUAUAAGAAUUGUUUGGUUUUCCAAAUCUUCUAAAUCACCCAACGAACGGAAAAAAAUUGAAUAUGGAUUAAUUUGAAGAAUCUUGAUUAGUUGAGUGACAAUUGAUUGUAUCAUAGAAGUACAACUGCAAAUAAGAAGGAUGACCAUUCGAGGGUAGCAAAUCAUUGAUGUAAUGAUAUAUCUGUCCUUGAGUUCUAAAAGUAUAAAUCCCUUUAUGAUCUUUAUCAAAAUUUACUCCGAAUGAGGUAAAUGCGAACUUGUUGUUGCAAGUGCGAAUGUAUGUCCUAAAAUGUAUGGAUUCAUUUGUGUUCCCGGUAAACAAAUCAAGAAGUUGUUUAAGUACAUCAUUUGUGGUUAAGGAAAUCCUUCCAUUACCACAACAAAAGCUAGUUGUCUCAUGUGGGAAUCGCUUUGUUUUGUAAUGUGUAUAUCUAGGCAUUAAUUUUAACAAAUAAGGUUUUGAUGGUACGACCUCUAACAUUAUAAUCAUUAGUGAUAGGGACUUCACGGGCAUUCCAUAUAGCCAUUGGGUCACUUACAAAUCUAUCAGAAUCAUCAUGGGCAAUUGAUGUGGAUUCAUUGAUAUGAAUCAUAUUGUUUCUUGAAUUUUCUUGUCUAGCAUAUAUUUCUCUUCAUUUUCUACGGCUUCCUCUUUCUUUUCUUCUGAUAAAUCAUUAUGAACUUUUCUUUUUCCUUUACGAUAUGGAUUAUUUAAUGAAGAUUUUUGUUUAGGACUACCCACAAAUCGUUGAGAAUCAUCAUCGGCAAUUGAUGUAGAUUUAUUUAUAUGAAUUAGAUUAUUUCUUGAAGUUUUUUUUUUGGCAUAUAUUUCUCUCCGUCUUUUGCGGAGCUCCUCCUUCUUUUCUUAACAUAAAUCUCUAUAAAGUUUUCUUCUUUCAUUGCGAAUCAGAUUGUUUCUUGAAGCCUUUUGUUUUGAAGUACCUGCUAAUCUUUGAGAAUCAUCAUGGCUAAUUGAUGUGGAUUCAUUUAUACGAA